Coregonus clupeaformis (lake whitefish) is the source of this 490-nucleotide long non-coding RNA. RefSeq lists it as uncharacterized. The transcript is spliced from 3 exons. The record is from RefSeq and is a predicted model, not a curated record. NCBI's taxonomy places the organism in Eukaryota, Metazoa, Chordata, Actinopteri, Salmoniformes, Salmonidae.
GAUGUUUCUGUUCAGUCUGUGUCCUGUGUCUGCUCUCCUCUCCUCCCUCCUCUCCUCUUUCUGUGUCUACUCCUUCUGCAGAACAACAGCUGCAGCUGAGACUCAGGUUCCUCUGAACAGGACUACCACCAGGGGAAGUGAGAGAAGAGAGAAGGAGGAAGGAGAUCUGUGUUAUGCCUCGUUGGAUAUCCGUCAGGGACAGAGGAGACCAAAGAAGAAGAAGAGAGUCCAGAACUCUGACUUCAGUACCUACACAGCCAUCAAUACCAGCAGAGUGUGAGACCUAUACCAUCCAUCAAUACCAGCAGAGUGAGAGAUCAAUACCAGCAGCUGGGAGGAAAAACAACAGUUUUUAUAUUUUUACGAGUUACUUAAUAUUUGGGGGGAUAUUUGUUUAACCUUUUAAAAUCAUUUCAUACAACUUUUGCCUGUAGCCUUUUAAUAAUAAUAACAAUAGUGAUUUAGAAAAUGUUUUUCAGCUCAGGGAAUA